This 1230-nucleotide long non-coding RNA is filed under the name Phascolarctos cinereus (koala). RNAcentral describes it as "lncRNA (ENSPCIG00000028842.2)". The record is from RNAcentral. Lineage: Eukaryota; Metazoa; Chordata; Mammalia; Diprotodontia; Phascolarctidae.
AUGGACCCCAAGAGCCUAACUCCCCGGGGCUCUCCCCACACCCAUCAGCAUCAAACCUGCCUGAUGGGUCCUUCUCACAGCCCGGAAUGGGCCCCAGACACAGAUGAUGACAAGGUCUCACAGUGCCGAAGGCUGCCGCCCCAGUGUGGCCACUCUCGAGACCCAGUGAUCUCCCAUGGACCAUGGAGGCAGGGGAAAGGAUUGAUGCCCAAAGCAGGAAAGUUUUCCCAUUCUCAGUCUUCUGGAGCUAGUACCACCCCACUGCUUCACCAUGAGACCUUUUUCUACCUUGGCCAAAAGCCUCAAAGCUCAAGGAACAGUGAGGAUGCAGAGUCCCAAUCUGCCAGAGAUAUUCAGAAGCCAAGCCAGGUUUUCCUCUCUCCCCUCCCUAUUCUUCAUCCCCAAGAUGCCCAUGUGGUAUAUGAUGCCAGGAAGAUGAAAGGCCCAAAUUGCCAGGUGGGAGGAUUUGUGGAAGCUUUGUCCCUUUCCACACGGAAAGGCUCCCUACAAGAGCUCAGUGAAAGGGGCCAAAAUCUCAUCUCCCAGACCCUGGAGAGGCCCUCCAAUCUGCCCACUUUCCCUGUUGACCACUCUGUGGAGUAUAUAGAGUAUAAGAAGCAGACAGUCAGCUUUCCUGAAGGAAGGAACCAGGGCACGCUCUCCUGCAAAUCCAAGUCCCACACUGAUAAAGGUCAUUCUGAAAGGAAGAUGCUACUUCCCCCAAAUUCUGUCUGUUUACAGCCAUCUGACUACCCCACUUGUCCCAGCAGUAGUUCUACCCCUUCCCAGUCACCCUGUCCUUCUGAAAUCCCGUUACCUGACCAGAUUGCAUUGCACCAACAGCAGCCUUCAAAGGUUCUUAUAGAACCUCUCGAAGUUUCAAAGGGUGAGAUGGCUUGUGGUAUACAGAAACUACCAGAGGUCUCCACUUUCACUCAGACCCAUUACCCCCAAGGAUGGAAUCAAAAUUGGGUGUACAAGUCUCUGGAAAUGUCCACGCAGAAUCGGCCAUCCUUCCAUCAGAUGCCUCCAAGCAAGGGAUCUGGUUUGGAGACAGGUCAUGUGGUCUUUGAUGCCAGGCAGCUCAGACUAAACAAGGAAUAUGCCAGAGACUAUGCCCUCAGGACCUCCUGUGGCCCUAAAACCCUCUCUGACUGUCCCAGGGAAAGGCAGAGGGAAGACUUGGAAUACUGGUCCAUGACAAAGACUUGGGGGAAAGCUCGGCAAUAA